AGGUGUGAGGGUGAUCUGGCUGUGACAUCUGUUACUCCAUUGAUUGCCAGGGUUGAUUGGGCUGAUCUAGGCGGGAGUCCCCUUCCUCACUGCUCCAUGUUUGCCUCUCCUGAAACUGCAUGCUAGGUUGAAGAGGACGACCUUCCUCAAUACAGGAGGGAUAAGGAGGACCUUUCUUUGGUCAAGGGUAUAUGAAUGGCUACGCUUCCCCGCUAGAACCUUUAAACAAGCUUUCAAGGUCCAUUUGUAGGAGGAUGUAGGGUAGUCCAGCUUCUAAGAUUCCAGACACAUCUAAGUGAGGUGCUGUAUGUAUCAGCUACCUUUCUUU
This 328-nucleotide small nuclear RNA is filed under the name Canis lupus familiaris (dog). RNAcentral's name for it is "7SK RNA". It matches the Rfam family "7SK RNA". Rfam says of the family: 7SK was discovered as an abundant small nuclear RNA in the mid-70s but a possible function has only recently been suggested. Two independent studies have found that 7SK RNA binds the CDK9/cyclin T complex (known as elongation factor P-TEFb). Lineage: Eukaryota; Metazoa; Chordata; Mammalia; Carnivora; Canidae. The record is from Rfam by way of RNAcentral. RNAcentral also lists the same sequence under 1 other name.